This 67-nucleotide transfer RNA is filed under the name Marmota monax (woodchuck). RNAcentral's name for it is "tRNA.Ala". Lineage: Eukaryota; Metazoa; Chordata; Mammalia; Rodentia; Sciuridae. The record is from RNAcentral.
GGUCAUGGCUCAGUGGUAGACCGCUUGCCUGGCACACAUGAGGCACUGAGUUCAAUCCCCAGCACCA